Molecule: microRNA, 20 nt
Filed under: Ciona intestinalis (vase tunicate)
Lineage: Eukaryota; Metazoa; Chordata; Ascidiacea; Phlebobranchia; Cionidae
Description: cin-miR-4000i-3p
Source: miRBase by way of RNAcentral
GAUGUUAUUGCAAGUUUUAA